UACGUAGGGUGCAAGCGUUUGUCCGGAAUUAUUGGGCGUAAAGAGCUCGUAGGCGGUCUGUCGCGUCGGCUGUGAAAUCCCGAGGCUCAACCUCGGGUCUGCAGUCGAUACGGGCAAACUGGGAGUACUGCAGGGGGAGACUGGAAUUCCUGGUGUAGCGGUGAAAUGCGCAGAUAUCAGGAGGGAACACCGGUGGCGAAGGCGGGUCUCUGGGCAGUAACUGACGUGAGGAGCGAAAGCGUGGGGAGCAACAGG
RNAcentral lists this ribosomal RNA (255 nucleotides) under uncultured bacterium. RNAcentral's name for it is "partial 16S ribosomal RNA". It matches the Rfam family "Bacterial small subunit ribosomal RNA", at positions 524 to 775 of the family's 1533-position model. The record is from RNAcentral.